RNAcentral lists this ribosomal RNA (805 nucleotides) under Escherichia coli. Its description in RNAcentral is "partial 23S ribosomal RNA". It matches the Rfam family "Bacterial large subunit ribosomal RNA", at positions 2073 to 2872 of the family's 2925-position model. Lineage: Bacteria; Pseudomonadati; Pseudomonadota; Gammaproteobacteria; Enterobacterales; Enterobacteriaceae. The record is from RNAcentral.
CGGCAAGACGGAAAGACCCCGUGAACCUUUACUAUAGCUUGACACUGAACAUUGAGCCUUGAUGUGUAGGAUAGGUGGGAGGCUUUGAAGUGUGGACGCCAGUCUGCAUGGAGCCGACCUUGAAAUACCACCCUUUAAUGUUUGAUGUUCUAACGUUGACCCGUAAUCCGGGGUGCGGACAGUGUCUGGUGGGUAGUUUGACUGGGGCGGUCUCCUCCUAAAGAGUAACGGAGGAGCACGAAGGUUGGCUAAUCCUGGUCGGACAUCAGGAGGUUAGUGCAAUGGCAUAAGCCAGCUUGACUGCGAGCGUGACGGCGCGAGCAGGUGCGAAAGCAGGUCAUAGUGAUCCGGUGGUUCUGAAUGGAAGGGCCAUCGCUCAACGGAUAAAAGGUACUCCGGGGAUAACAGGCUGAUACCGCCCAAGAGUUCAUAUCGACGGCGGUGUUUGGCACCUCGAUGUCGGCUCAUCACAUCCUGGGGCUGAAGUAGGUCCCAAGGGUAUGGCUGUUCGCCAUUUAAAGUGGUACGCGAGCUGGGUUUAGAACGUCGUGAGACAGUUCGGUCCCUAUCUGCCGUGGGCGCUGGAGAACUGAGGGGGGCUGCUCCUAGUACGAGAGGACCGGAGUGGACGCAUCACUGGUGUUCGGGUUGUCAUGCCAAUGGCACUGCCCGGUAGCUAAAUGCGGAAGAGAUAAGUGCUGAAAGCAUCUAAGCACGAAACUUGCCCCGAGAUGAGUUCUCCCUGACUCCUUGAGAGUCCUGAAGGAACGUUGAAGACGACGACGUUGAUAGGCCGGGUGUGUAA